AUUGAACGCUGGCGGCAUGCCUUACACAUGCAAGUCGAACGGCAGCACGGGAGCAAUCCUGGUGGCGAGUGGCGAACGGGUGAGUAAUAUAUCGGAACGUGCCCAGUAGUGGGGGAUAGCCGGCGAAGCCGGAUUAAUACCGCAUACGACCUGUGGGUGGAAAGCGGGGGAGUCGCAAGACCUCGCGCUAUUGGAGCGGCCGAUAUCAGAUUAGCUAGUUGGUGGGGUAAAGGCCUACCAAGGCGACGAUCUGUAGCUGGUCUGAGAGGACGACCAGCCACACUGGGACUGAGACACGGCCCAGACUCCUACGGGAGGCAGCAGUGGGAAUUUUGGACAAUGGGCGCAAGCCUGAUCCAGCCAUGCCGCGUGUGGGAAGAAGGCCUUCGGGUUGUAACC
RNAcentral lists this ribosomal RNA (399 nucleotides) under uncultured bacterium. RNAcentral's name for it is "bacterial SSU rRNA". It matches the Rfam family "Bacterial small subunit ribosomal RNA", at positions 29 to 430 of the family's 1533-position model. The record is from RNAcentral.